CAGGCAGCGAGGGUCUUUGCUUCAUACAUCAUUCACCAGCCUCUCAGCCCAGAGCCAGGGCGCCAAGGAGUGACCGCUGUGUCCAGAGCAAUGUGGUGGCCUAUGCUGUGGGCCUUUCCAGUACUGCUCUGUCUCUGUUCCUCCCAGGCCCUGGGUCAGGAGAGUGGUGCCUGUCCAGAUGUUAAGAUCGUAGGUCUGGGGGCCCAGGACAAGGUGGCUGUCAUCCAAAGUUGCCCUAGCUUUCCUGGCCCACCUGGACCCAAAGGGGAGCCUGGAAGUCCUGCUGGGAGAGGUAGCAAUCUGGAUGGGAAAGGGAUCCCCCUUCACCUCCCCUUGGUCAGUCUUUCUCCAAUCCUACCUAGGAGAUGGGAUCCAGUUUCAUCCUUGUGUUUACAGGGGAACGGGGCUUACAGGGCAGCCCAGGGAAGAUGGGACCCGCCGGCAGCAAAGGAGAGCCAGGAACCAUGGGGCCCCCAGGAGUCAAAGGUCAGAAGGAGCUGGGAGACGCACUGUGCCGGAGAGGUUUUUCAACGACGAGUGGAUGGGUCCAUCAACUUCUACCGAGACUGGGAUUCCUAUAAAAGAGGCUUUGGCAACCUGGGCACAGAGUUCUGGUUGGGUAAUGACUACCUUCACCUGCUCACAGCCAAUGGGAACCAAGAGCUCCGGGUUGACUUAAGAGAGUUCCAAGGUCAAACCUCCUUUGCCAAAUACAGCUCAUUCC
This 724-nucleotide long non-coding RNA is filed under the name Rattus norvegicus (Norway rat). RNAcentral describes it as "long non-coding RNA NONRATT019059". Lineage: Eukaryota; Metazoa; Chordata; Mammalia; Rodentia; Muridae. The record is from RNAcentral.